AAGUCGUAACAAGGUUUCCGUAGGUGAACCUGCGGAAGGAUCAUUAACACAUCCUUUUUAUAUCUAUAUCAUGCAUUGUGGCAUAGGGACCCUCUUGGGAGAAAUGCCGUGUAUGGCAAGGUGCGAUUGAUUGCAGGCGACAGUCCUCGAAUUGCAAGUUUCUCCUGAAUGUGCUAAAAUGAGUAUUCGUUCACCUUGCUAGACCUUUUUUUUUUUAACUUGAUUUUUGUAUUGAAUUGGUUGGGAUCGAGAAGGGCUUCGGCCUGCCUCUCUUGGCCUUUUGAUGGAGCAAUCCAUUGAUAAAUUAACUAAAACACAACUCUUAACAGCGGAUAUCUCGGUUCUC
This 346-nucleotide unclassified non-coding RNA is filed under the name fungal sp. RNAcentral describes it as "partial internal transcribed spacer region". The stretch from base 1 to 46 matches the Rfam family "Eukaryotic small subunit ribosomal RNA", at positions 1786 to 1831 of the family's 1831-position model. Lineage: Eukaryota; Fungi. The record is from RNAcentral.